RNAcentral lists this ribosomal RNA (429 nucleotides) under Verrucomicrobiota bacterium. RNAcentral describes it as "Verrucomicrobia bacterium partial 16S ribosomal RNA". It matches the Rfam family "Bacterial small subunit ribosomal RNA", at positions 355 to 776 of the family's 1533-position model. Lineage: Bacteria; Pseudomonadati; Verrucomicrobiota. The record is from RNAcentral.
UAGGAAAUCUUCCGCAAUGGACGAAAGUCUGACGGAGCAACGCCGCGUGAGUGAAGAAGGAUUUCGGUUCGUAAAACUCUGUUGUUAGGGAAGAAAAAAUGUAUAGUAACUAUAUACAAAAGAGACGGUACCUAACCAGAAAGCCACGGCUAACUACGUGCCAGCAGCCGCGGUAAUACGUAGGUGACAAGCGUUGUCCGGAAUUAUUGGGCGUAAAGCGCGCGCAGGUGGUUUAGAAAGUCUGAUGUGAAAGCCCACGGCUCAACCGUGGAGGGUCAUUGGAAACUAAUAAACUUGAGUGCAGGAGAGAAAAGUGGAAUUCCUAGUGUAGCGGUGAAAUGCGUAGAGAUUAGGAGGAACACCGGUGGCGAAAGCGGCUUUUUGGCCUGCAACUGACACUGAGGCGCGAAAGCGUGGGGAGCAAACAGG